Molecule: ribosomal RNA, 514 nt
Filed under: uncultured bacterium
Lineage: Bacteria
Description: partial 16S ribosomal RNA
Rfam family: Bacterial small subunit ribosomal RNA
Source: RNAcentral
GAUGAACGCUGGCGGCGUGCCUAAUACAUGCAAGUCGAGCGAAUGGAUUAAGAGCUUGCUCUUAUGAAGUUAGCGGCGGACGGGUGAGUAACACGUGGGUAACCUGCCCAUAAGACUGGGAUAACUCCGGGAAACCGGGGCUAAUACCGGAUAACAUUUUGAACCGCAUGGUUCGAAAUUGAAAGGCGGAUGCGGCUGUUACUUAUGGAUGGACCCGCGUUGCAUUAGCUAGUUGGUGAGGUAACGGCUCACCAAGGCAACGAUGCGUAGCCGACCUGGGAGGGUGAUCGGCCACACUGGGACUGAGACACGGCCCAGACUCCUACGGGAGGCAGCAGUAGGGAAUCUUCCGCAAUGGACGAAAGUCUGACGGAGCAACGCCGCGUGAGUGAUGAAGGCUUUCGGGUCGUAAAACUCUGUUGUUAGGGAAGAACAAGUGCUAGUUGAAUAAGCUGGCACCUUGACGGUACCUACCAGAAAGCCACGGCUAACUACGUGCCAGCAGCAGCCGCCG